This 311-nucleotide ribosomal RNA is filed under the name uncultured Alphaproteobacteria bacterium. RNAcentral's name for it is "bacterial SSU rRNA". It matches the Rfam family "Bacterial small subunit ribosomal RNA", at positions 145 to 489 of the family's 1533-position model. The record is from RNAcentral. Lineage: Bacteria; Pseudomonadati; Pseudomonadota; Alphaproteobacteria.
AACACGAGGAAACUUGUGCUAAUACCGGAUAAGUCUUUACGGAGAAAGCUUUAUGCACCAUUGGAUGAGCCUGCACUUGAUUAGUUUGUUGGUGGGGUAAUGGCCUACCAAGACUGUGAUCAAUAGCUGAUUUGAGAGGAUGAUCAGCCACAUUGGGACUGAGACACGGCCCAAACUCCUACGGGAGGCAGCAGUGGGGAAUCUUGCACAAUGGAGGAAACUCUGAUGCAGCGAUGCCGCGUGAGUGAAGAAGGCCUUUGGGUUGUAAAGCUCUUUCGUCGGGGAAGAAAAUGACUGUACCCGAAUAAGAA